AGGGAUGUAGCUUGCUGGUAGAGCAUCUGCUUAGCAUGCAGAUCAUCCGGGGUUAGAUCCCCAGCACUGUUA
Molecule: transfer RNA, 72 nt
Filed under: Fukomys damarensis (Damara mole-rat)
Lineage: Eukaryota; Metazoa; Chordata; Mammalia; Rodentia; Bathyergidae
Rfam family: tRNA
About the family: Transfer RNA (tRNA) molecules are approximately 80 nucleotides in length. Their secondary structure includes four short double-helical elements and three loops (D, anti-codon, and T loops). Further hydrogen bonds mediate the characteristic L-shaped molecular structure. tRNAs have two regions of fundamental functional importance: the anti-codon, which is responsible for specific mRNA codon recognition, and the 3' end, to which the tRNAs corresponding amino acid is attached (by aminoacyl-tRNA synthetases). tRNAs cope with the degeneracy of the genetic code in two manners: having more than one tRNA (with a specific anti-codon) for a particular amino acid; and 'wobble' base-pairing, i.e. permitting non-standard base-pairing at the 3rd anti-codon position.
Source: Rfam by way of RNAcentral